This 240-nucleotide unclassified non-coding RNA is filed under the name soil metagenome. Its description in RNAcentral is "partial contains 5.8S ribosomal RNA, internal transcribed spacer 2, and large subunit ribosomal RNA". The record is from RNAcentral.
AACUGAUACUACCUGCGGGAACCUGCGGAAGGAUCAUUACAGGACUCGCAAGACUCCUACAACCCUGUGAACUUAACUAUAAGCACGUUGCUUCGGCGGGUGUCUCGGCGAGGGUUCUCCCUCCCCGGGGCGCUAAGCCCGCCGGCAGCCUACUAUACUCUGUCUCUUUGCGUUGGCAUCUCGAGUACAAACAAACAAGUUAAAACUUUUAACAACGGAUCUCUAGAUCGGAAGAGCACA